CUUGACGACCAUAGAACAUUGGAACCACCUGAUCCCAUCCCGAACUCAGCAGUGAAACGAAGUAUCGCCGAUGGUAGUGUGGGGUUUCCCCAUGUGAGAGUAGGUCAUCGUCAAGA
This 116-nucleotide ribosomal RNA is filed under the name Pseudomonas syringae pv. actinidiae. The record is from RNAcentral. Lineage: Bacteria; Pseudomonadati; Pseudomonadota; Gammaproteobacteria; Pseudomonadales; Pseudomonadaceae.